RNAcentral lists this ribosomal RNA (970 nucleotides) under uncultured bacterium. Its description in RNAcentral is "bacterial SSU rRNA". It matches the Rfam family "Bacterial small subunit ribosomal RNA", at positions 110 to 1099 of the family's 1533-position model. The record is from RNAcentral.
GUAAUAUAUAGUUAACGUGCCUCUUAGCCUGGGAUAGCCACUGGAAACGGUGAUUAAUACUGGAUACUCCUUCUAACUUAAUGUUAGUCGGGAAAGGUUUUUCGCUAAGAGAUCGGACUAUAUUGUAUCAGCUAGUUGGGGAGGUAAUGGCUCACCAAGGCAAUGACACAUAGCGGGUUUGAGAGGAUGAUCCGCCACACUGGUACUGAGACACGGACCAGACUCCUACGGGAGGCAGCAGUGAGGAAUAUUGCACAAUGGGGGAAACCCUGAUGCAGCAACGCCGCGUGGAGGAUGACGCAUUUCGGUGUGUAAACUCCUUUUAUAAGAGAAGAAAAUGACGGUAUCUUAUGAAUAAGUCCCGGCUAACUCCGUGCCAGCAGCCGCGGUAAUACGGAGGGGACAAGCGUUAUUCGGAAUCACUGGGCGUAAAGGACGCGUAGGCGGGUUAUUAAGUCGGGUGUGAAAUCCAAUGGCUCAACCAUUGAACUGCAUUCGAAACUGGUGACCUAGAGUAUGGAAGGGGCAGGUGGAAUUAGUGGUGUAGGGGUAAAAUCCGUAGAUAUCACUAGGAAUACCGAAAGCGAAGGCGACCUGCUGGGACAUUACUGACGCUGAGGCGUGAAAGCGUGGGGAGCAAACAGGAUUAGAUACCCUGGUAGUCCACGCCCUAAACGAUGAAUGCUAGUCGUCGGGGAGCUUGUCUCUUCGGUGAUGCACUUAACAGAUUAAGCAUUCCGCCUGGGGAGUACGGUCGCAAGAUUAAAACUCAAAGGAAUAGACGGGGACCCGCACAAGUGGUGGAGCAUGUGGUUUAAUUCGAAGAUACGCGAAGAACCUUACCUAGCCUUGACAUUGAUUGAAUCUUUCAGAGAUGAGAGAGUGCCUUUCGGGGAACAUGAAAACAGGUGCUGCACGGCUGUCGUCAGCUCGUGUCGUGAGAUGUUGGGUUAAGUCCCGCAACGAGCGC